CCCAUCAUCAACAGUGUUAGCUUUCCCUCUCUAAUCUCGUUCUGUUGCUUUCCUUCCAAUAGAUCUCUAAAAAAGAGAAUGCCAACCUCCUCCCCACUCUCCUCACUGUCACAUCCCGCCAGUCUCUGCCAUUACCUUCUUCCCCACCCCAUCAUCAUUAGUGUCGGCUUUCCCCCUCCAAUCUUCCUCUGGUGCUUUCCUUCCCUC
This 207-nucleotide long non-coding RNA is filed under the name Elaeis guineensis (African oil palm). RNAcentral's name for it is "long non-coding RNA (EGUI_LNC046527)". Lineage: Eukaryota; Viridiplantae; Streptophyta; Magnoliopsida; Arecales; Arecaceae. The record is from RNAcentral.